CGAUAUCGAUGGGGGCAGAAAAACCGCCGCAUGGCCAGCAGACUACGCACGUAGAAGACUGAGGGUUCGGUUAUCGGACCGGGGUUCGAUUCCCCGCAGCUCCACCA
RNAcentral lists this transfer-messenger RNA (107 nucleotides) under uncultured bacterium. Its description in RNAcentral is "transfer-messenger RNA Bifid_denti_27678". It matches the Rfam family "transfer-messenger RNA", at positions 272 to 374 of the family's 374-position model. Rfam says of the family: Bacterial tmRNA, also known as 10Sa RNA or SsrA, is named for its dual tRNA and mRNA-like properties. The record is from RNAcentral.